Molecule: transfer RNA, 77 nt
Filed under: Candidatus Polarisedimenticola svalbardensis
Lineage: Bacteria; Pseudomonadati; Acidobacteriota; Candidatus Polarisedimenticolia; Candidatus Polarisedimenticolales; Candidatus Polarisedimenticolaceae
Also listed under: 1 other name
Description: tRNA-Pro
Rfam family: tRNA
About the family: Transfer RNA (tRNA) molecules are approximately 80 nucleotides in length. Their secondary structure includes four short double-helical elements and three loops (D, anti-codon, and T loops).
Source: RNAcentral
CGGGGCGUGGCGCAGCCUGGUAGCGCACUUGCUUGGGGUGUAAGGGGUCGUGAGUUCAAAUCUCGCCGCCCCGACCA